RNAcentral lists this non-coding RNA (22 nucleotides) under Arabidopsis thaliana (thale cress). Lineage: Eukaryota; Viridiplantae; Streptophyta; Magnoliopsida; Brassicales; Brassicaceae. The record is from RNAcentral.
UAUUUGUUUGGGACGAGUUGGA